Molecule: unclassified non-coding RNA, 387 nt
Filed under: soil metagenome
Description: partial contains 5.8S ribosomal RNA, internal transcribed spacer 2, and large subunit ribosomal RNA
Rfam family: 5.8S ribosomal RNA (bases 1-120)
Source: RNAcentral
GAUGAAGAACGCAGCGAAAUGCGAUAAGUAAUGUGAAUUGCAGAAUUCAGUGAAUCAUCGAAUCUUUGAACGCACCUUGCACCCUUUGGAAUUCCAAAGGGUAUGCUCGUUUGAGUGUCAUUGUACUCUCACACUUCUAAUUCCUUUCGGGAUUGGGAGCGGUGGACUUGGGUGUUGCUGCUUUAGUUGUGGCUCACCUCAAAUAAGUUAGUGCAACUCUUGGUUGGACAUAGUACGGCGUGAUAAGUGUCUUCGCCGGCGCCUCUGUAAGGAGGGUGGCCGAUCGGGAGCUCUGUGCUUCAAACCGUCUUCGGACAAUCUUUGACAACUUGACCUCAAAUCGAGUAGGACUACCCGCUGAACUUAAGCAUAUCAAUAAGCGGAGGA